GGUUAAGCGACUAAGCGUACACGGUGGAUGCCCAGGCAGUCAGAGGCGAUGAAGGACGUGCUAAUCUGCGAUAAGCGUCGGUAAGGUGAUAUGAACCGUUAUAACCGGCGAUUUCCGAAUGGGGAAACCCAGUGUGUUUCGACACACUAUCAUUAACUGAAUCCAUAGGUUAAUGAGGCGAACCGGGGGAACUGAAACAUCUAAGUACCCCGAGGAAAAGAAAUCAACCGAGAUUCCCCCAGUAGCGGCGAGCGAACGGGGAGCAGCCCAGAGCCUGAAUCAGUGUGUGUGUUAGUGGAAGCGUCUGGAAAGGCGCGCGAUACAGGGUGACAGCCCCGUACACAAAAAUGCACAUGCUGUGAGCUCGAUGAGUAGGGCGGGACACGUGGUAUCCUGUCUGAAUAUGGGGGACCAUCCUCCAAGGCUAAAUACUCCUGACUGACCGAUAGUGAACCAGUACCGUGAGGGAAAGGCGAAAAGAACCCCGGCGAGGGGAGUGAAAAAGAACCUGAAACCGUGUACGUACAAGCAGUGGGAGCACGCUUAGGCGUGUGACUGCGUACCUUUUGUAUAAUGGGUCAGCGACUUAUAUUCUGUAGCAAGGUUAACCGAAUAGGGGAGCCGAAGGGAAACCGAGUCUUAACUGGGCGUUAAGUUGCAGGGUAUAGACCCGAAACCCGGUGAUCUAGCCAUGGGCAGGUUGAAGGUUGGGUAACACUAACUGGAGGACCGAACCGACUAAUGUUGAAAAAUUAGCGGAUGACUUGUGGCUGGGGGUGAAAGGCCAAUCAAACCGGGAGAUAGCUGGUUCUCCCCGAAAGCUAUUUAGGUAGCGCCUCGUGAAUUCAUCUCCGGGGGUAGAGCACUGUUUCGGCAAGGGGGUCAUCCCGACUUACCAACCCGAUGCAAACUGCGAAUACCGGAGAAUGUUAUCACGGGAGACACACGGCGGGUGCUAACGUCCGUCGUGAAGAGGGAAACAACCCAGACCGCCAGCUAAGGUCCCAAAGUCAUGGUUAAGUGGGAAACGAUGUGGGAAGGCCCAGACAGCCAGGAUGUUGGCUUAGAAGCAGCCAUCAUUUAAAGAAAGCGUAAUAGCUCACUGGUCGAGUCGGCCUGCGCGGAAGAUGUAACGGGGCUAAACCAUGCACCGAAGCUGCGGCAGCGACGCUUAUGCGUUGUUGGGUAGGGGAGCGUUCUGUAAGCCUGUGAAGGUGUGCUGUGAGGCAUGCUGGAGGUAUCAGAAGUGCGAAUGCUGACAUAAGUAACGAUAAAGCGGGUGAAAAGCCCGCUCGCCGGAAGACCAAGGGUUCCUGUCCAACGUUAAUCGGGGCAGGGUGAGUCGACCCCUAAGGCGAGGCCGAAAGGCGUAGUCGAUGGGAAACAGGUUAAUAUUCCUGUACUUGGUGUUACUGCGAAGGGGGACGGAGAAGGCUAUGUUGGCCGGGCGACGGUUGUCCCGGUUUAAGCGUGUAGGCUGGUUUUCCAGGCAAAUCCGGAAAAUCAAGGCUGAGGCGUGAUGACGAGGCACUACGGUGCUGAAGCAACAAAUGCCCUGCUUCCAGGAAAAGCCUCUAAGCAUCAGGUAACAUCAAAUCGUACCCCAAACCGACACAGGUGGUCAGGUAGAGAAUACCAAGGCGCUUGAGAGAACUCGGGUGAAGGAACUAGGCAAAAUGGUGCCGUAACUUCGGGAGAAGGCACGCUGAUAUGUAGGUGAAGUCCCUCGCGGAUGGAGCUGAAAUCAGUCGAAGAUACCAGCUGGCUGCAACUGUUUAUUAAAAACACAGCACUGUGCAAACACGAAAGUGGACGUAUACGGUGUGACGCCUGCCCGGUGCCGGAAGGUUAAUUGAUGGGGUUAGCCGCAAGGCGAAGCUCUUGAUCGAAGCCCCGGUAAACGGCGGCCGUAACUAUAACGGUCCUAAGGUAGCGAAAUUCCUUGUCGGGUAAGUUCCGACCUGCACGAAUGGCGUAAUGAUGGCCAGGCUGUCUCCACCCGAGACUCAGUGAAAUUGAACUCGCUGUGAAGAUGCAGUGUACCCGCGGCAAGACGGAAAGACCCCGUGAACCUUUACUAUAGCUUGACACUGAACAUUGAGCCUUGAUGUGUAGGAUAGGUGGGAGGCUUAGAAGUGUGGACGCCAGUCUGCAUGGAGCCGACCUUGAAAUACCACCCUUUAAUGUUUGAUGUUCUAACGUUGACCCGUAAUCCGGGUUGCGGACAGUGUCUGGUGGGUAGUUUGACUGGGGCGGUCUCCUCCUAAAGAGUAACGGAGGAGCACGAAGGUUGGCUAAUCCUGGUCGGACAUCAGGAGGUUAGUGCAAUGGCAUAAGCCAGCUUGACUGCGAGCGUGACGGCGCGAGCAGGUGCGAAAGCAGGUCAUAGUGAUCCGGUGGUUCUGAAUGGAAGGGCCAUCGCUCAACGGAUAAAAGGUACUCCGGGGAUAACAGGCUGAUACCGCCCAAGAGUUCAUAUCGACGGCGGUGUUUGGCACCUCGAUGUCGGCUCAUCACAUCCUGGGGCUGAAGUAGGUCCCAAGGGUAUGGCUGUUCGCCAUUUAAAGUGGUACGCGAGCUGGGUUUAGAACGUCGUGAGACAGUUCGGUCCCUAUCUGCCGUGGGCGCUGGAGAACUGAGGGGGGCUGCUCCUAGUACGAGAGGACCGGAGUGGACGCAUCACUGGUGUUCGGGUUGUCAUGCCAAUGGCACUGCCCGGUAGCUAAAUGCGGAAGAGAUAAGUGCUGAAAGCAUCUAAGCACGAAACUUGCCCCGAGAUGAGUUCUCCCUGACUCCUUGAGAGUCCUGAAGGAACGUUGAAGACGACGACGUUGAUAGGCCGGGUGUGUAAGCGCAGCGAUGCGUUGAGCUAACCGGUACUAAUGAACCGUGAGGCUUAACCUU
This 2904-nucleotide ribosomal RNA is filed under the name Escherichia coli. Its description in RNAcentral is "23S ribosomal RNA". It matches the Rfam family "Bacterial large subunit ribosomal RNA". Lineage: Bacteria; Pseudomonadati; Pseudomonadota; Gammaproteobacteria; Enterobacterales; Enterobacteriaceae. The record is from RNAcentral.